RNAcentral lists this small RNA (406 nucleotides) under Pelobates cultripes (western spadefoot toad). Lineage: Eukaryota; Metazoa; Chordata; Amphibia; Anura; Pelobatidae. The record is from RNAcentral.
GGUGAUUAGUGACAGAGUGAGGGAGGGGGUGACUAGUGACAGAGGGAGGGGUAACACAGUGACCGAGUAAGGGGGUGACUAGUGACAGAGUGAGGGAGCGGGUGACACAGUGACAGAGUUAGGGAGGGAGUAACUAGUGACAGAGAGAGGGAUGGGGUGACUAGUGACAGUCACCCCCCCUCACUCUGUCACCAGUCAUCCCCUCACUCUGUCACUAGUCACCCCUUCCCUCCCUCACUCUGCCACUAGUCACCCAUUCCCUCACUCUGUCACUAGUCUCCCAUUCCCUCACCUCACUGUCCCCCACCCUAGUCUCCCCCUCUCCUUCCCUCUGUCACUAGUCACCCACUCCCUCACUCUGUCACCAGUCACCCCCACUCACUGUGUCUCCCCCUCACUCUGCCAC